GUAUUGGCCUACCGUGGCUAUGACGGGUAACGGGGAAUUAGGGUUCGAUUCCGGAGAGGGAGCCUGAGAAACGGCUACCACAUCUAAGGAAGGCAGCAGGCGCGCAAAUUACCCAAUCCUAAUACAGGGAGGUAGUGACAAGAAAUAACAAUACAGAGCCUUACGGUUUUGUAAUUGGAAUGAGUUAAGUAUAAACCCCUUAACAAGUAUCAAUUGGAGGGCAAGUCUGGUGCCAGCAGCCGCGGUAAUUCCAGCUCCAAUAGCGUAUAUUAAAGUUGUUGCAGUUAAAAAGCUCGUAGUUAAUUUUCUGUUAAUUUUUAUAUACAAUGCUACGGUAUUUAUAUAAUAUUAACAUAAUUCAUAUUACUUUUUAGUAUAUGAAACUUUACUUUGAGAAAAUUAGAGUGCUUAAAGCAGGCUAUUGCCUUGAAUACUCCAGCAUGGAAUAAUAUUAAGGAUUUUUAUUCUUCUUAUUGGUUCUAGAAUAAAAAUAAUGAUUAAUAGGGACAGUUGGGGGCAUUUGUAUUUAA
Molecule: ribosomal RNA, 530 nt
Filed under: Cryptosporidium ryanae
Lineage: Eukaryota; Apicomplexa; Conoidasida; Eucoccidiorida; Cryptosporidiidae
Description: SSU rRNA
Rfam family: Eukaryotic small subunit ribosomal RNA
Source: RNAcentral